CAGGCUUAACACAUGCAAGUCGAGGGGCAUCAGGAAGAAAGCUUGCUUUCUUUGCUGGCGACCGGCGCACGGGUGAGUAACACGUAUCCAACCUGCCCUUUACUCGGGGAUAGCCUUUCGAAAGAAAGAUUAAUACCCGAUAGCAUAAUGAUUCCGCAUGGUUUCAUUAUUAAAGGAUUCCGGUAAAGGAUGGGGAUGCGUUCCAUUAGGUUGUUGGUGAGGUAACGGCUCACCAAGCCUUCGAUGGAUAGGGGUUCUGAGAGGAAGGUCCCCCACAUUGGAACUGAGACACGGUCCAAACUCCUACGGGAGGCAGCAGUGAGGAAUAUUGGUCAAUGGGCGCUAGCCUGAACCAGCCAAGUAGCGUGAAGGAUGAAGGCUCUAUGGGUCGUAAACUUCUUUUAUAUAAGAAUAAAGUGCAGUAUGUAUACUGUUUUGUAUGUAUUAUAUGAAUAAGGAUCGGCUAACUCCGUGCCAGCAGCCGCGGUAAUACGGAGGAUCCGAGCGUUAUCCGGAUUUAUUGGGUUUAAAGGGAGCGUAGGUGGACUGGUAAGUCAGUUGUGAAAGUUUGCGGCUCAACCGUAAAAUUGCAGUUGAUACUGUCAGUCUUGAGUACAGUAGAGGUGGGCGGAAUUCGUGGUGUAGCGGUGAAAUGCUUAGAUAUCACGAAGAACUCCGAUUGCGAAGGCAGCUCACUGGACUGCAACUGACACUGAUGCUCGAAAGUGUGGGUAUCAAACAGGAUUAGAUACCCUGGUAGUCCACACAGUAAACGAUGAAUACUCGCUGUUUGCGAUAUACAGUAAGCGGCCAAGCGAAAGCAUUAAGUAUUCCACCUGGGGAGUACGCCGGCAACGGUGAAACUCAAAGGAAUUGACGGGGGCCCGCACAAGCGGAGGAACAUGUGGUUUAAUUCGAUGAUACGCGAGGAACCUUACCCGGGCUUAAAUUGCAGUGGAAUGAUGUGGAAACAUGUCAGUGAGCAAUCACCGCUGUGAAGGUGCUGCAUGGUUGUCGUCAGCUCGUGCCGUGAGGUGUCGGCUUAAGUGCCAUAACGAGCGCAACCCUUAUCUUCAGUUACUAACAGGUCAUGCUGAGGACUCUGGAGAGACUGCCGUCGUAAGAUGUGAGGAAGGUGGGGAUGACGUCAAAUCAGCACGGCCCUUACGUCCGGGGCUACACACGUGUUACAAUGGGGGGUACAGAAGGCAGCUAGCGGGUGACCGUAUGCUAAUCCCAAAAGCCUCUCUCAGUUCGGAUCGAAGUCUGCAACCCGACUUCGUGAAGCUGGAUUCGCUAGUAAUCGCGCAUCAGCCACGGCGCGGUGAAUACGUUCCCGGGCCUUGUACACACCGCCCGUCAAGCCAUGGGAGCCGGGGGUACCUGAAGUACGUAACCGCAAGGAUCGUCCUAGGGUAAAACUGGUGACUGGGGCUAAGUCAUAACAAG
This 1449-nucleotide ribosomal RNA is filed under the name uncultured organism. RNAcentral's name for it is "16S ribosomal RNA". It matches the Rfam family "Bacterial small subunit ribosomal RNA". The record is from RNAcentral.